AUUGAACGCUGGCGGCAUGCCUAACACAUGCAAGUCGAACGGGGGCAGCAAUGCCCUAGUGGCGGACGGGUGAGGAAUACGUAGGAACCGGCCCACGAGUGGGGGGACAACCUGGGGAAACCCAGGCUAAUACCGCAUACGCUCGCGAGAGGAAAGCGGGGGACCUUCGGGCCUCGCGCUGGUGGACGGGCCUACGUCCGAUUAGCUUGUUGGUGGGGUAAAAGCCUACCAAGGCGACGAUCGGUAGCUGGUCUGAGAGGAUGAUCAGCCACACUGGGACUGAGACACGGCCCAGACUCCUACGGGAGGCAGCAGUGGGGAAUAUGGACAAUGGGCGCAAGCCUGAUCCAGCAAUGCCGCGUGGGGUGAAAGAAGGCCUGCGGGUUGUAAAGCCCUUUAAGCGGGGAGGAAGGGUAGUAGCUUAAUACGUUGCUACUUUGACGUUACCGACAGAAUAAGCACCGGCUAACUCUGUGCCAGCAGCCG
Molecule: ribosomal RNA, 486 nt
Filed under: uncultured bacterium
Lineage: Bacteria
Description: bacterial SSU rRNA
Rfam family: Bacterial small subunit ribosomal RNA
Source: RNAcentral